UAGCUCCCGUCCCAGCCGCCACCAACUGCCCCCUCGUCGCCUCCCCCUCCCCUUCCCCCUCUCACCACCCACUGAACAAGCAGCUUAUUCACCGCGGCUUGUUUGUCGAUCCUCAGGUAUUAUUCGUCAAAAGCCUCCUCCUUUCUUAAUAGGACUCUCAGUCAACUCAAUUCAUCUAUAUUAGUGUUGAAUCAGGCUCGCUCGCAAGAUGAAGCGGCUGUAUGUGAAUCUGGUGACGCGGAAUUGGGAGAGUGGGAUUUAUGCACUGCGCCGCCUCAAUCCCGAUGUGCACCUCUUCUACCAGUCAAGAAAUGACGCAAAAGAAGUA
RNAcentral lists this long non-coding RNA (328 nucleotides) under Triticum aestivum (bread wheat). RNAcentral's name for it is "long non-coding RNA (TAES_LNC002947)". The record is from RNAcentral. Lineage: Eukaryota; Viridiplantae; Streptophyta; Magnoliopsida; Poales; Poaceae.